AGGGCGAAGGGGAGGCAGCCCACCUGGACAUGUGCUCCCUUUGGGGCCGGUGCGCUUUCUCCAGCCCCAGCUUGGUGAAGAUGCCCACGAGCACCAUGACGGCCACCACCCCGCAGAUGAUGUAGACGAUCAGGGGGCUUUUGCAUCUACUACCAUGCACGGGUGAAGUUUUAUAGGAAGACAACUGCUGGAGGCUGCUGGAGCAAAUUUGCCUGGAUACCCAGGUUUCACCAUGUUGCCCAGCCUGGUCUCGAACUUCUGGACUCAAGUGAUCUGCCCACCUCAGCCUGCCAACAUGCCGAGAUUACAGGAUUGAGCCACUGCACCCAGCCACAGGCAAUUAUUCUCAUAAGCUAAAACUAGAAACAAAAAGUACAAAGAUCAUUGAUCCAAGACCAGCUGUGGAAAGGUCUAGCUCCACAUUUUCACAAAACAGAAAGAUUCCAAUCAUAGCUGAUAUAAUGACAGUUUCUAACAACUUGAACUAUAAUAUUUACUACUCAGACUCUGUAACCUACUAAAGAUUCUGUUUAUUGAAACAUAUAUUACCUUCUCUUGCUCACAUGUAUAAGGCCAGUAGGUUUUAUUUGAGAAAUUAAUUAAGUUCUCCUAGCUACAGUUUUCCUUGGAAUUAACACCUGGAAUGAAAAUCAAUGAAGACUAGGUGGAUUCUUUUAUUUCUUGCCUCUAUCUGCCCAUGUUAAGAAUAGAAUUGCUAUUGUCUUCGAUCCAAAAUCAUUCUGCAAGUCUAGAGGGACGUAUCUUAUUCUUUUUUGGGACCUCUUGUUCUGGGGAUUACAUGAGGUAAGUACAGA
Molecule: long non-coding RNA, 815 nt
Organism: Callithrix jacchus (white-tufted-ear marmoset)
Lineage: Eukaryota; Metazoa; Chordata; Mammalia; Primates; Cebidae
Source: RefSeq, a predicted model, not a curated record